GCCGUCUAGCCUAGCACUGCUCAGUAAGGUCCAGUGGAGACCCUGCGUGAGACCUCCAGUGCGUGGGCCAGGAGCCCCGCGCGAGGCCUGCCCUUGCCGGAGAAGGACGUGUUUGCACCUGAAGCAGGAAGGAAAGGGCACGGAAGAGCUAAGCAGAGAGGCAGCACCUCCUGCAGACCAGAGGCACAGGGAGCCCUCCAGGGUGACUCAGUGAGGGGGCGUUGCACCCUCCUGCCUGAGCUACAGGACCCUGGUCACCAGGUGUCUGUGGCCUUCACCAGUGUUUUAGAGGACAGUGUGGUAAAGGAGGGUUGUGCCCAGUCACCACCGAAGCCGCCGCGCGCCUGUCAUCUCCGUUCGUUCCUUAGCUGCCUGGCCUGCGAGCACUUGUGUUUGUAAAGGGUUUUCCUGAAGAAACAUCUUACAGAUUCAUCUCUUUUCUUAAGAUAUGAAUAUUUACAAGUUGGAGUUGUCUGCCUUCCCCCAAGAUACAGAAUGAUAGCUUCCUGUGAAGUUUUAGAACAGUUGUACAAGACAGUACUUCUUGGAGCCACGCUCGAGAGUGACAGCCAUGAUUACGUCUGUCAUCUCACCCCAGCAGUGUCAGGUCAAGGCGGCCCCAGCACCACCUCCGCAGAGUGGUCGGACGCCCGUGGUGACCAGGACAGGCGUCAGCCAUCCUCCGUCAGGCUGGCUCCUGUCCCCACAGCACCUGUGUGUUGGACGACAAGCUCACAGAGGAGCAGUGCCCGAGAGACAGUGCUCCUUCAGUUAACAGUGAUCCAAGUGAUGCUAGCCAGGGUGUUUUCCAUCAGCAUGGAGAGCCGCUCGAAGGAGAAGUACAGAGAUGUAAUCAAAACUCUCUUACAGUCAGCUGAAGUCGAUUCAAAGUUGAUCUGUAUGUUCCAAAACUCGGAUAAAUUGUUAUCCCACAUGGCCGCAAAGUGUCUUGCGUUGCUUCUGUAUUUCCAAUUGAGAGAAAAGAUACCAUUAAGUGAUUCUUGGAUUGCUUUUUGCCAAAAACAUCUUUCUGAAUACCCGGAGAGUGAUAAAGCAGUAUACUGCCUCUAUACCCUUACAGUUGUAAUAAAAGAAAUCUUGAAAGAUACAAGCUCACAAAAAACAGAAAUUAUAAAGCAGCUCCUGACCCCUUUGGACACGACUUUUGAAGUAUUCUGUAAUUCUGUAUUGUCUCAGCAUUUUGAACGCUGCCAGGAUACUUCUAAAAUAACAAACGGCUUGAUGAGCUUCCUGGGAUUGCUGGAGCUCCUCACCGCCUCCGGAGUCCACCUGAAGCCACGUUUCGCCUGCCAGAGGGCCGUGUUUCUGAAGCCCUCUCGCAUGCUGGGUGUCCUUACCUGGCCAGUCCCGGCUUUUGUCAAGAGGCAGCUCAUCCUACUCAUCAAGAGAUGCCUUCUCUGUAAAGUGGGUGAAGACCUGUGCCGGGGACCCGUGCCCGCUUUCUCGCCGCCGGACCACCCUGCCGACGCCGACACAUUGGCCCUAGCUGAUGCUGUUUUGCGGGCGGUGGAUCUGGGGUUGUUGAAGAAGUUGUCUGCUCAUGGAAAACCGUCCUGCUUUGGAGGUGACAAGGUUCAGCCCCGAGGUGAACGGAUCUGCGUUCCAGAUUACGUGAUCCUCAGAGCAGUGAGCUUGGUUCUAAUGAAAUCCCUGGAAAUCAAGUUUCAAAAUUGUACUUCAGCAAAUGAAAUGAAAGCGGCUCUGCGGAGGUUCAUGUCUGAGCUCCUGGCGUUCCUGAGGCCUCACCUGCCCUCGCUGCACGGCCCCUGUGAGUGGCUGCCGAGAGUCUUCAUAGAGCAAGAUGAUGACAUGCUGGAGGCUGCCAAGGCGUCACUGGGGAUCUACGUAAAGCUGACCAGAGAACAUGAAGCCGCUGAACACCUGGGCCCAGGGGAAACGUGGGAUCGUCACGUGCAUGAGAGCGGCUGCAAUCCACACUGCAUUUUUUUGUUCUUCUUAAAGAACGUGGGAUUUGAUUCUUCAGUUCUUCUUGACUUUCUGAUUUCAUCAGAAACUUGUUUUCUUGAAUAUUUUGUCAGGUAUCUAAAACUACUGCAAAAAGAGUGGGAUAAUUUCGUCACCAUUUGCAAGUCCUUUGACGGAGCUGCACCUGAACGCGCCAUAAAUUCCUGUGGUCGCGUCCCCUCACUUGCCCAAGGCACAAGCUGCAGCCAGGCAGCACCCCCCCAAGUGACUGCUCUUAAUAGUCACGCCAGGCCUUGCGCGUGGCUCUCCAGGGCUUCUGAUGCAUUUUGCGAACCCCUGAGCCAGGCCGUGACCCCCACGGAGACCCGCACCAUGCAGGCUCAUCGGCCGUCUUCCCCACAGGUUGCGCCAGGUCUGGUAGAUUAUGACAGCUCUGAUGAUUCUGAAGUGGAGUGCACAGGCCAGAGCGUAGCCAACAGCCAGCAAACAUCUUUACACCAAGUGACAGUUCAGGUGGUCCAGGACUCGGCUGGCACAAGUGCAGGUCGAGAGCUGAGCCGAGAGACGCAGGCAAGGCCCCUGGUUCCACAGGGAUCCGAUGCUUCCUUCUCUGCUGAUUGUGAGGCGCCCCCCAGAGAUACUGCCUCUGAAGCAGGACUGUUUCACAGAACAGUAAAAUGCUUCAGGGAGCUGCAGGGCGCCAUUUACCGUUUGCAAAAGAAAAAUCUUUUCCCAUAUAAUCCAACUGCACUUCUGAGGUUGUUAAAACAUGUAGAGGCAAUGUAUAAUAAAAGUAUGGUCCCUUUGUAAAACAGUGGCAUUUUAUCUCCAGGAAUUGUUUUUCCUUAAUAGUAUAAAUGGUGCUUCAAUGAGAUAAGUACGUUCUUAAAAAACUCUCUUGGGGCAAGUGCCGUGGGAUGCCCACAUCCCAUAGGAGUGCUGGUUCUGAUCUGACCUGCUCCGCUUCCAGUCCAACUUUCUGCAUUAGGAUCUGGGAGAGCAGCACACAGUGGCCCGAGGACUUGGGUCCCUGCUCCCCAUGUGGGAGACCUAGAUGGAAUUCUGGGUUCCUGGCUUCAGUGUAGCCCAGACCCAGCAUUUGUGGGCCUUUGGGGAGUGAACCCGUGAGUAGAUUCUCUCUCUCUCUCUCUCUCUCUCUUUCUCUAUCUCCAUGUCUUUCCACCUCUCGCCUUCCCUCCCUCCUUUUCUGUCUGCCUUUCAAAUAAAACUAUAAAUAUUUUUUCAGUAAAAUAUAUUUUAAAAAUAAAUCAAUAACCACACAGGAUUUUCUCAAUAGAGUUCUUUUUUCUUAAUUGGAAGCAGCCUAAUGACUGGAAAACAAAUGAAAUGACAUCACCUUAUAUAGUUGUCCAUCACUGGGAGUGACAGCUGCUGUGGUAGUUCAGACUUGUACAGCAUUUGGGUGGUCACUGUAUUAGUUUCCUAGGGUUGCCAUAAAAAAUUAACACGUAUUGGCUGGCAUAAGACAACUUAAAUUUCUUCUCUCACACUUCUGGAGGCUGGAAGUCCAGGACCAAGGUGAGAGCAGGGUCACACCUCUCCAGCCUGUGGAGAAGAAUCCUUGCCUGACUCCUCCUGAUUUGUGGUGCUUGACAGCAGUCCCUAAUGUUCCUUGGCUUGUGGCUGCGUUGCUCCAGUCUCUGCCCCAUGCGGCAUUUCCCUUGCGCACAUGUCUUUAUCCAGUGCUCCCCCUCUAGGGACCCUAAUAAAAAAAAGUGGAGCAGCAGGGGCAUGAACUGGCACCCAUAUGUGAUGCUGGUAUCAUAGGUGGAAGCUCUAGCUGCCACACCACAACGCCGGCCCCAAUGUUCCUGUUUAAAUUGUGGUAUGGGGGUGGGUGUUUGGCACAGCAGUUAGGAUACUACUUGGGAUGCCCUUAUCCCAUAUCAGGGCACCUGCUAGUCCUGGGUCAACUUCCAACUCCAACUUCCUGGUGGUGUACACCUUGGGAGGUAGCAGGUGGUAGCUCAAGUGAUUGGGUUCCUGCCUGACCCACAUGAGAGACCUGAAUUGAGUUCUGAGCUCCAGGCUUGGGCCUGGCCCAGCCCUGGCUGUUGCAAACGUUUGACGGGGUGAACCAGUGGAUGGAGGGUCUGUCUCUGUUUCGCUGCCUUUCACACUAAUUAAUUAAAAAGUAAGCUGUGGUGUAAUUACUCCUUCUGCUCUCCUGCCUUCAAGAGGGACUCUUGGAGCCAGCCUUAAAACAGCCGAGCCUCUCGUGGAAAGGUCACAUGCCCUUUCUCAGUGAAAGGGGAUCCUUGCAACGCGUGGGAACGCCGUGUAAGUAGCUGUGUUGCUGUUUUGUUUAGGGAAUGAUGACGAGGAAAAAAAGUCUGUACGUAUUCCCUACAGACACAAUUUCUUUUUCCAAAUCUUCACUGCUCAGUUGGUUGAGUCCAUGGAUGUGGAACACAGGAACAUGGAAGGCUAACUGCUGUUGUGUGGUUAUGGAAUCUGUGAGAAUGUACGAGAAAGUCACCCUGUGGUCGCCUCAGGAGACAGGUCUGAGAGCGCCAGUGAUACAGAAGAGAGCACGUCUCAGAGUGCACCUGUGGGGCCGGUACCCAGCUGGCGAC
Lepus europaeus (European hare) is the source of this 4544-nucleotide RNA transcript. It is a transcript of the gene named lines homolog 1, with no coding region annotated. The transcript has 9 exons. The record is from RefSeq and is a predicted model, not a curated record. Lineage: Eukaryota; Metazoa; Chordata; Mammalia; Lagomorpha; Leporidae.